AAUAUAUUUUAUUAUAGUAAUUAUAUUUAUUAUUUAAAUAGUUUAUAUGUAAAUUUUUGUGGGGAAUAUUAUAAUUUAAAAAAUAAUUUAUUUAUAUUCGCAGUAGUUAAUUUUAUUUAUUUAAGAAAUUAUGAGUUAGGAAUUUAAUUUAGUAUAGGUAAUUUUUGUGCCAGCAAUCGCGGUUAUACAAAAUAUGCGAGUAAAUUAUAUUAGAAGGAGUUAUAUAUAUAUAUAUAUAUAUUAAUUGUAUAUUUAGAUUUUAGUUUAUCAUUAUUAAGUAAAAUUUUUAUAUAUUAUAAAGUUUAAUUAGAUUUUAUAUAGACCUUAUAAAUUUUAUAAAAGACUAGGAUUAGAUACCCUAUUAUUAAGAUAUGAGUAAGAGUUUUUAGAUUAGUAGUAAAUAUAUUUAUGAAAUUAAAAUAAUUUGGCGGUAUUUUAGUCUAUUCAGAGGAAUUUGUUUUAUAAUCGAUAAUCCUCGUUUUAUCUUACUUAUUUUAUUUAAUUUGUAUAUCGUUGUCAUUAGAAUAUUUUAUUAGAAAAUUAAUUUUCUUUAAUUAUUUAAAAUUUUAUGUCAAAUCAAGGUGCAGUUUAUAUUUAAGUUAAAAUGAAUUACAUUAAUAUAUAGUUAAAUGGAUUAAAUAGUGAAAUAGUUUAUGAAGGUGGAUUUGAGAGUAAAAUUGAUAAUUAUAUUAAUUUGAUUAUAGCUCUAAGAUAUGUACAUAUCGCCCGUCGCUCUUAUUAUUAAAGUAAGAUAAGUCGUAACAAAGUAGAGUUACUGGAAAGUGUCUCUAGAUAAU
Molecule: non-coding RNA, 797 nt
Filed under: Sciopemyia fluviatilis
Lineage: Eukaryota; Metazoa; Arthropoda; Insecta; Diptera; Psychodidae
Source: RNAcentral